GGCGAACGCUGGCGGCGUGCUUAACACAUGCAAGUCGAACGCUGACGACCGAUCUUGCUCGGUCUGAUUAGUGGCGCACGGGUGAGUGACACGUGAGCAACCUCCCCUUUACUCUGGGAUAACCUCUGGAAAUAGGGGCUAAUACCGGACAUAAGCACCUUUCGCAUAGGGGUUGUGGGAAAGAUUUUCGGUGAAGGAUGUGCUCGCGGCCUACCAGUUGUUUGGGGAGGUUGGUGCUCACAAGGGCGACGAAGGCGAGCCGGCCUGAGAGGGCGACAGGCCACACAGGGACAGAGACACGGCCCAGACUGCUACGGGAGGCAGCAGUGGGGGAUAGUGCACGAUGGGCGAAAGCCUGAUGGAGGGAUGCCGCGUGGGGGAUGACGGCCGUCGGGUUGUAAACCUCGUUCAGCAGGGAAGAAGCGCAAGUGACGGUACCUGCAGAAGAAGCGACGGCUAACUACGUG
This 467-nucleotide ribosomal RNA is filed under the name uncultured bacterium. RNAcentral's name for it is "partial 16S ribosomal RNA". It matches the Rfam family "Bacterial small subunit ribosomal RNA", at positions 28 to 507 of the family's 1533-position model. The record is from RNAcentral.